CACAGUAAGCACUUCGUUUCUUUCGUAAAGACUGAUGUCUUGUUUCGUUGUAUGAGUUAAAACACACAAUACAAUCAAUCUUAAGCGGUAGCUCUCAUCACAAAAGCCUCCGAAUUGGACAUUUGUCAAAGUAAUGUUCAUGCUAGACGCAGUGCGUUGACACAAAUUUUGAUAUAUCAACCCACCAAUCCGUAUCUA
Long non-coding RNA from Bradysia coprophila, 198 nucleotides. Lineage: Eukaryota; Metazoa; Arthropoda; Insecta; Diptera; Sciaridae. The record is from RefSeq and is a predicted model, not a curated record.